Molecule: ribosomal RNA, 732 nt
Filed under: uncultured Candidatus Pelagibacter sp.
Lineage: Bacteria; Pseudomonadati; Pseudomonadota; Alphaproteobacteria; Candidatus Pelagibacterales; Candidatus Pelagibacteraceae
Description: bacterial SSU rRNA
Rfam family: Bacterial small subunit ribosomal RNA
Source: RNAcentral
UGCAGUCGAACGAAGUAGCAAUACUUAGUGGCAGACGGGUGAGUAACAUGUGGGUAUCUUCCCUUUGGUGAGGAAUAACACGAGGAAACUUGUGCUAAUACCUCAUAAGUCUUUACAGAGAAAGCUUUAUGCGCCGAUGGAUGAGCCCGCACUUGAUUAGUUUGUUGGUGGGGUAAUGGCCUACCAAGACUAUGAUCAAUUGCUGAUUUGAGAGGAUGAUCAGCCACAUUGGGACUGAGACACGGCCCAAACUCCUACGGGAGGCAGCAGUAGGGAAUCUUGCACAAUGGAGGAAACUCUGAUGCAGCGAUGCCGCGUGAGUGAAGAAGGCCCUUGGGUUGUAAAGCUCUUUCGUCGGGGAAGAUGAUGACGGUACCCCAUGAAUAAGCACCGGCUAACUACGUGCCAGCAGCCGCGGUAACACGUAGGGUGCGAGCGUUGUUCGGAAUUACUGGGCGUAAAGGGCGUGCAGGCGGAUAGGUCAGCCGGAGGUGAAAGCCCGGGGCUCAACCCCGGAGGGUCUUUCGGAACUGCCUGUCUAGAGAGAGUCAGGGGCCAGCGGAAUUCCUGGUGUAGAGGUGAAAUUCGUAGAGAUCAGGAGGAACACCGGCGGCGAAAGCGGCUGGCUGGGACUACUCUGACGCUGAGGCACGAAAGCGUGGGGAGCGAACAGGAUUAGAUACCCUGGUAGUCCACGCCGUAAACGAUGAGUACUUGGUGUCGGGGGGAAUC